GAGGGGGUUGUGAGAACCCCAGAUUUGUUGCCAAGUUGGAUGGAACUAGGCUCUCCAGGCAUCAGCUUCACAGAGAGAAUCUUGAUGCCCAACAAGGACAGCAUUUUCAGAGAUGUACCCUUACAAGGGGUCCCCAUACAAGAUUGAAAUGAUAAAGAACUGAAGAUCCAAAGCCAGAGAAUGAUAAAGUAACUUCAACCUGACACAGUAAAACAUUGCAGGGAGAGUCCGGGAUCUGGAAUGAGAAUGCCACGUCCAGGCUGUGUUACCUUACAAAAAUUAUUAAUGCUUCAGUGGCCUCAUCUGCAGAAUGGAAAUACCAAUAAUAGUAGCUAUCUGAUAAGGUUAUUGUGGGGAUAGUAGGAGACAAUCCAUAAUAAUGUUUGAGUAGUAGCUGGCACAUUGUAGAUACUCAACAUACGCCAGCUAUUAUUGUUAUAGAAAAUAUGCAGAUCUGGAAUAGCUUGGAAAAUGUUUAUGAUACAAUAACAAAUUCAAAAGAAGUCUACUAAAUACUGUGUAUUUUAUGAUUGCAAUUUUGUAAAAACUAUAUCUGCUUAUGGAAAAAGAUUUGAAGAAAAUAUGCUUAUGUGAAAAGAAUUUCUUACA
RNAcentral lists this long non-coding RNA (609 nucleotides) under Homo sapiens (human). RNAcentral's name for it is "HSALNT0354303". The record is from RNAcentral. Lineage: Eukaryota; Metazoa; Chordata; Mammalia; Primates; Hominidae.